CCUUGCUACUUGGAUAACCGUAGUAAUUCUAGAGCUAAUACAUGCAGGAAUUCCCGACUUCGGAAGGGAUGUAUUUAUUAGAUAAGAAACCAAACCGGUCUCCGGUUGUGUGCUGAGUCAUAAUAACUGCUCGAAUCGCACAGCUCUACGCUGGCGAUGGUUCAUUCAAAUUUCUGCCCUAUCAGCUUUCGAUGGUAGGAUAGAGGCCUACCAUGGCGUUAACGGGUAACGGAGAAUUAGGGUUCGAUUCCGGAGAGGGAGCCUGAGAAAUGGCUACCACAUCCAAGGAAGGCAGCAGGCGCGUAAAUUGCCCGAAUCCUGACACAGGGAGGUAGUGACAAGAAAUAACAAUACAGGGCUCUCUGAGUCUUGUAAUUGGAAUGAGUACAAUUUACAUCUCUUCACGAGGAUCAAUUGGAGGGCAAGUCUGGUGCCAGCAGCCGCGGUAAUUCCAGCUCCAAUAGCGUAUAUUAAAGUUGUUGCAGUUAAAACGCUCGUAGUCGGAUUUCGGGGCGGGGCCGCCGGUCUGCCGAUAGGUAUGCACUGGCGGGCGCGUCCUUUUUCCCGGAGACGGCUGCUACUCUUAACUGAGCGGUGGUCGGAGACGGGAUGUUUACUUUGAAAAAAUCAGAGUGUUUCAAGCAGGCAGUCGCUCUUGCAUGGAUUAGCAUGGGAUAAUGAAAUAGGACUCUGGUGCUAUU
This 701-nucleotide ribosomal RNA is filed under the name uncultured eukaryote. RNAcentral's name for it is "SSU rRNA". It matches the Rfam family "Eukaryotic small subunit ribosomal RNA", at positions 130 to 840 of the family's 1831-position model. The record is from RNAcentral.